This 570-nucleotide ribosomal RNA is filed under the name Salmonella enterica subsp. enterica serovar Kentucky. RNAcentral describes it as "bacterial SSU rRNA". It matches the Rfam family "Bacterial small subunit ribosomal RNA", at positions 1 to 562 of the family's 1533-position model. Lineage: Bacteria; Pseudomonadati; Pseudomonadota; Gammaproteobacteria; Enterobacterales; Enterobacteriaceae. The record is from RNAcentral.
AAAUUGAAGAGUUUGAUCAUGGCUCAGAUUGAACGCUGGCGGCAGGCCUAACACAUGCAAGUCGAACGGUAGCACAGAGAGCUUGCUCUCGGGUGACGAGUGGCGGACGGGUGAGUAAUGUCUGGGAAACUGCCCGAUGGAGGGGGAUAACUACUGGAAACGGUAGCUAAUACCGCAUAACGUCGCAAGACCAAAGUGGGGGACCUUCGGGCCUCACACCAUCGGAUGUGCCCAGAUGGGAUUAGCUAGUAGGUGGGGUAACGGCUCACCUAGGCGACGAUCCCUAGCUGGUCUGAGAGGAUGACCAGCCACACUGGAACUGAGACACGGUCCAGACUCCUACGGGAGGCAGCAGUGGGGAAUAUUGCACAAUGGGCGCAAGCCUGAUGCAGCCAUGCCGCGUGUAUGAAGAAGGCCUUCGGGUUGUAAAGUACUUUCAGCGAGGAGGAAGGCGUUGUGGUUAAUAACCACAGCGAUUGACGUUACUCGCAGAAGAAGCACCGGCUAACUCCGUGCCAGCAGCCGCGGUAAUACGGAGGGUGCAAGCGUUAAUCGGAAUUACUGGGCGUA